AACGAACGCUGGCGGCAUGCCUAACACAUGCAAGUCGAACGAAACCUUCGGGUCUAGUGGCGUACGGGUGCGUAACGCGUGGGAACCUGCCCUUAGGUUCGGAAUAACUCCCCGAAAGGGGUGAUAAUACCGGAUAAUGUCUUCGGACCAAAGAUUUAUCGCCUUUGGAUGGGCCCGCGUUGGAUUAGCUAGUUGGUAGGGUAAAAGCCUACCAAGGCGACGAUCCAUAGCUGGUUUGAGAGGAUGGUCAGCCACACUGGGACUGAGACGCGGCCCAGACUCCUACGGGCGGCAGCAGUGGGGAAUAUAGGACAAUGGGCGAAAGCCUGAUCCAGCAAUGCCGCGUGAGUGAUGAAGGCCUUAGGGUUGUAAAGCUCUUUUACCCGGGAUGAUAAUGACAGUACCGGGAGAAUAAGCUCCGGCUAACUCCGUG
This 433-nucleotide ribosomal RNA is filed under the name uncultured bacterium. RNAcentral describes it as "partial 16S ribosomal RNA". It matches the Rfam family "Bacterial small subunit ribosomal RNA", at positions 29 to 507 of the family's 1533-position model. The record is from RNAcentral.